This is a non-coding RNA of Rhamnusium bicolor, 66 nucleotides long. NCBI's taxonomy places the organism in Eukaryota, Metazoa, Arthropoda, Insecta, Coleoptera, Cerambycidae. The record is from the annotation of a GenBank genome assembly.
GCAUGGUAGCCGAGUGGGUAAAGCGCUCGGUACCGAAUAUCGAUGGUUCGAAUCCAUCCCGAAGCA